RNAcentral lists this ribosomal RNA (404 nucleotides) under Actinomycetes bacterium. RNAcentral's name for it is "Actinobacteria bacterium partial 16S ribosomal RNA". It matches the Rfam family "Bacterial small subunit ribosomal RNA", at positions 355 to 776 of the family's 1533-position model. The record is from RNAcentral. Lineage: Bacteria; Bacillati; Actinomycetota; Actinomycetes.
UGGGGAAUAUUGGACAAUGGGCGCAAGCCUGAUCCAGCCAUGCCGCGUGAGUGAUGAAGGCCCUAGGGUUGUAAAGCUCUUUCACCGGUGAAGAUAAUGACGGUAACCGGAGAAGAAGCCCCGGCUAACUUCGUGCCAGCAGCCGCGGUAAUACGAAGGGGGCUAGCGUUGUUCGGAUUUACUGGGCGUAAAGCGCACGUAGGCGGACUAUUAAGUCAGGGGUGAAAUCCCGGGGCUCAACCCCGGAACUGCCUUUGAUACUGGUAGUCUUGAGUUCGAGAGAGGUGCGUGGAAUUCCGAGUGUAGAGAUGAAAUUCGUAGAUAUUCGGAGGAACACCAGUGGCGAAGGCGGCUCACUGGCUCGAUACUGACGCUGAGGUGCGAAAGCGUGGGGAGCAAACAGG